AGCAGCCGCGGUAAUUCCAGCUCCAAUAGCGUAUAUUAAAGUUGUUGCAGUUAAAAAGCUCGUAGUUGAAUUUCGGGAUCAAGUCGUCGGUCGUGCCUCGGUACGCACUGGUGACAUUGGUUUCUACCUUCUGAAGAACCUUGAUGUCAUUAAUUUGGUGUCUUGGGGAAUCAGGACUGUUACUUUGAAAAAAUUAGAGUGUUUAAAAGCAGGCUCACGCUUGAAUACAUUAGCAUGGAAUAAUGAAAUAGGACGUUUGAUUCUAUUUUGUUGGUUUCUAGGAUCGACGUAAUGAUUAAUAGGGAUAGUUGGGGGCAUUAGUAUUCAAUUGUCAGUAGGUGAAAUUCUUGGAUUUAUUGAAGACUAACUACUGCGAAAAGCAUUUGCCAAGGAUGUUUUCAUUAAUCAAGAACGAAAGUUAGGGGAUCGAAGACGAUCAGAUACCGUCGUAGUCUUAACCAUAAACUAUGCCGACUAGGGAUCCGGAUGAUUGUUAAUUUUUAAUGUACUCAUUACGGCG
Molecule: ribosomal RNA, 520 nt
Filed under: uncultured Glomeromycotina
Lineage: Eukaryota; Fungi; Glomeromycota
Description: SSU rRNA
Rfam family: Eukaryotic small subunit ribosomal RNA
Source: RNAcentral